This is a long non-coding RNA of Homo sapiens (human), 4569 nucleotides long. Ensembl annotates it as long intergenic non-protein coding RNA 2538. NCBI's taxonomy places the organism in Eukaryota, Metazoa, Chordata, Mammalia, Primates, Hominidae. The record is from Ensembl.
GUGUUCGGCAUGAGGGUGCCUGCAGAGGAGGUGAAUCCCUGCGUUUUCUAUUCUUUUUUUCUUCCGACUGGUGUGGAUCCCAGACAAUUUCAGGGUCCUGCAGGGUUUGAGACCCUCUGUGAACACUGACCCGGGACCCCGUUUUGCCCAUGGGAAGUUGAAGCCAGCGCAGCCCCCGGCCAGGGGCACUGUCUCCUCGGCCCCGGGAUGCUGGACGGAGGGGACAACGUGCAGGGGCAGCUGCUGCUGGGCUGUGGACCUCCCGGAACCGGAGGAGCCCGGGAGGGGCUGGCCCAGCAGUGAGGGCUCCGAUGCGCCUCAAUUCAUAUGCUAAGGAGCCCUGGAUUCGGCUUUAAUUGCCGGAGUGGGAGGUGACCCCAGGGGCCCAAGCUGGGGGCGUGGCUGGGAAAUGCACAGAAAGAGACUUCGACGGGGGUGGCUAUGGUUUGUGCUGUGCUGUGCACACGUCUGGCUGAUAGAAAUCUAUGUCUAUAAACAGUUCCUUCCAGGUCUCCGCGGAAAACUGAAGAUUCCUGUGUGCUUUCAGAAAAGAGGUUCCAAGGAAAAGGGCAGCCAUUUAGUUUUCACAAGUCUGGGCAGUGAGCGAUUUGGAGCUUCCAUCCUUGGCUGACAUCAUGAACACCAAUGUUGCUGGCCUCGAUCGCAAGAAGGGUGGGACUUCGUGCUUAGCCUUCCUGGGGAAGGGCCUGUCCCUGGGUCACGUCCCCAGUGACCACAGGAGGAAGAGAAGGGAUGAGGAUCCUGGGGGGCCUGGCUCUGCGUCCACCCGUCUCUGUGUGGAUGCCUCCUGUGUCCAGGGUGAUAACCGGUCACCCGACUGUGUCCUUGGGGUCAUUCCUGGCUUCUCCUGCCGCUUGAUCACCCCUCUGGCUGCAGGGAGCCCAGGACGGAGAAGGAGAGACCUCAUUCUCCCUGGGGAAUGCAGGCUGAGACCACCCAUGCUUCUGGAGCAGGGUUUCAUGUGGGGGAGGUCCCUCCAGGGAGGGACAGUGAACUGACGCUGUGAUAUUGCUCAGGAUGGAGGCCCAGGGCAGACGGCGUCACCAGCUGCCGCAGAAGCCAGGUUGCCAGAGGGGCUGUGUCACCAGCCCUGGGGACGCCAUGUUGCUGUGCGUUUCGACACAUUCCUGUGGAGUGUCUGAGGAAAAACAGGGCACACGCAUUCCUGAUAAGAUUGCACCAAAAGGCCAGGGUGGGGGACCAGGCUCCCAGCCUCCCUCUGUCUCAGUUGGGGGCCGAGGGGCAGGGACAGCCAGGAGAAGGCCCAGCCAGAUGCUGCUGGCUUCCCCCAGGACUCUGCCCGACUGGCCUCUCGGUUAAACCUCCUCACCUGAGCCUCUCUUAUGGCGUGGUUGAGUCACACAUGAGAGGGUUUUGUCUGCCGGGAGGGGCUCUUCUUAUGGGACAACAGGGGCGCGAGGUGUGUGGUGUGGCUCUCAGGGAUGUGUCUGGACUCUAUCACGUCUGAGUGUCCCUGGGGCCAGAGUGCUGGGGGCAGGAGCCUGUGGUUUAUCAAGCACCUUCUGCCAGCUGAGGCCGUGACUUUUUGUCCCUCACUGGAGGAGGCUUCAAGGUCAGCCUCUUUUUCCUUUGGUCCCAAGCUUGCCGUGUCUCCUCCUCAUUCCCCACGUCCACAUGAGAAGGCAGUGUUCACAGGUGGGUUGGUCUGAGAUUGAAAUCGCAAGGCCAGGAUUUUCUGUCUGGGCAGCCCCCUCGAGUCAGCCUCAGAGGAGCCCAGACCUCUUGGAUGGCUUUCGGCGAGCCUCCCAGUGGGCACAGCACUCGCCACCGGACACUGCAUGGACUCAGCUUCCACACUGCGAUGGGUAUGGCCUGGUCCUUGCACUACCAGGGGCAAGGAGGAACGCUAUGCCUGGUGGGGGUGAGCACCCCAUCUCAUGACAAAGCAGUUCUCCAGGGUCUGCCCCACUUUUCUGUAAACCUGGGGGUCCAGCCCAGUGCAUUGGCUGGAAGGAGAGGGGACGCCUCCUGUCCCAGCUCAUGGCGCUCUGCCGACCCCACUGUCAGCCCCAACCUUGGUGCUCCGGGGGGCCCCAAUGCCAUAGAUGCACUUCAUGGGGAGCAACUGGGGCUGUUCCUGAGGACCAAGAUGGGCAGAGACCCUAAAGACGUCCAUGGAUUGACCCCUGCUCUCUGUGGCCCCUGCCUGGCUGGCCUCCCCUCCUCACACUCUCCACAGUUCUCAUGCAACACAGCGCCUCUAAAAAUGCUGUCCUGAAAAUGUGCGCUUUGGGGAAGAGCAGCUUCCUCCUCUUCGACCAAGUUCGGGUCCCUUCUACCCUUCAGUGGCUGUAGGCAGUCGGUGAGGGUCCUGGACGGGGUGGGCCGGGGGCAGGGAGGGGCACUGUGGGCUUUGGUUGCUCAGGGGUCCUGGCAGACACACCAACCUGGUGUGUUUGGAAAUGCACCUGGAUGUGUGCUGACCUCUGUGUGGAGGACCACGGGUCUGUUCAUCCCCCACUGGCUGCACCCCCGGGAGGCUGCAGCGUGCACUAUUCGGUCCCUACGCUGCAGUUAUUCUUGUAUCUGCCUUGUCACUGGCCUUGCUGCCCAUGACUCCCUCAGGUCAGCCCACGUCUCUGUCAAACUUUCAUCCUCCGCAAUUCUGCGCAGCCUGUAAAUGCUUAAAAAAUAUUGCGGAACAGGUGAGUCACAUUACAGAAAGGACGCAACCUGGAAAAGCACAGACAUUCCUUCCCCUUCUGCACCUGUUAGAGUAAGGGAGGGGCAUGAGGGGGUGGGACCUGCACAAGGUGCAGCUGAUAGAAAUGCAGUCUUCAGGAAAAGCCCUGGCUCUGAAACGGCAAAGGCUGUGUGCCUGGGAAAAAGACAAACGUGUCUUAUCCGGAGACGGCCCCCCUGCCCCAAAGGCUGUCACGCUGCCGUUCAGUUAUCUAUUCUGCAGCGAUAGAACUGGCUUGACCUAAAAAUUCAGUGACGGAAAAAUGUCAUCUAAUGCUGCUUAGUGCAGUCAGGCGGUCAGCAGAUGAGGGCAGAAGGCCACUGGUCUUUGACAGAACACGCGGAUGGCGAAAUAACAAAACAGGUGGCGGAUGAGGGCAGAAGGCCACUGGUCUUUGACAGAAUAUGCGGACGGCGAAAUAACAAAACAGGCAGCAGAUGAGGGCAGAAGGCCACUGGUCUUUGACAGAACACGCGGACGGCGAAAUAACAAAACAGGAUUCAGGCUGCACUGUCAGCAGCAGAGACAAACAAUUCUUCCAAAAUAAACAAGCGAGCUCCCAGCAGAGGCCUGUGAAGUCUCCCGUUCUGCCCAAACCACACACAUGUGGCCCACAGAGGAGGCUGCAGAGGCCCACGGGGAACUCAAGUGGCCGAGUGUGAGACCCAGGCCACCGGCCGUCCUCCCUGUCAGAACAAAAGGUUCAUGGAAAGGGCCAGGAGGACACAGCAAGGGGAACCGAAUGCCACUGGCAUUUCUUGGAUCUUUUGUACCAUAGUCUAAGCAUUUAGAGGAAGCACCGCGAGUUUGCUGCCCUGGAAGCUGACGUGCUCCCCAAACACAAGACGCAGGACUGGAGGCCUUGCCCCGCAGCUCGAGAGGCCGUUUUGGGACAUAUCAAGGAAGGAAGGCUUAAGCGACACAGGACCUGGCUGACUUACGCACCCGCUGUCUAAAGAUGGGGUGCUGGCCGGUGAACUGGAGUGGCUCACGGCAGACCUGGAGUGACAGUCAUGGGUCUGUACCUGUGUGGAGUCCUCCAUGGCUGGGCUUGCAGAGACUGAGCUGGACUGCAUUGCACAUUGGCUGGAAGGAGAGGAGCCACUGAGAGACCCAGCUUACGGCACUCUGCCCACCCCACUGCCCACCCCAACCCUGGCGCUCCAGGGGGGCCCAAUGCCACAGACACACUCCAGGGGGACAAUUGGGGCUGUUCCCAAGGACCAGGAGGGACAAAUGCCCUAAAGAUGUCCAUGGUUUGACCCCUGCUGUCUGUGGGCCCUGCCUGGCUGGCCUCCCCUUCUCACACUCUCCACAGUCCUCAUGCAACACAGCACAUCUGAAAAUGCUGUCCUGAAAACGCGCACUCUGGGGAAGAGCAGCUUCCUCCUCUCCGAGUGGAGCGGGCUGGCCCCAUGAGGCGUGAUUUUCACUGUGAAAUGUGCUUCACGUAACACUGGGGCCUUUGUCACCAUUUUUAAUUGUACAGUUUGGAGGCAUUAAGUGUGUUCAUCAUCACCACCUUCCACCCACAGAGCUUCUUCGUCUUCCCAAACGGAAACUCUGUCGUCGGUAAACACUCCCUCCCCUCCCACAGCCCCUGGCACCUGCCUUCUCCUUCCUGUCUCCAUGAACCUGACAACUCUUCGGACCCCACCUAAGUGGAGUUGGGCAGGAUUUGUCCUCUGUGGCUGGCUCGCGUCACUCAGCGGCCCUGAAGACUCAUCUGCGCCGCAGCCUGUCCCAGAAUCUCCCUCCCUCUAACACUGAUUAAUAUCCUGCUGCACAAAAAAACAAAGAUGAUCAUUUGAUACCCGAAAUCCACUUGAAAAUUGGUAAGAAAA